UACGGGGGGGGCAAGCGUUGUUCGGAAUUACUGGGCGUAAAGGGCUCGUAGGUGGCCAACUAAGUCAGACGUGAAAUCCCCAGGCUCAACUUGGGAACUGCGUCUGAUACUGGAUGGCUUGAAUUCGGGAGAGGGAUGCAGAAUUCCAGGUGUAGCGGUGAAAUGCGUAGAUAUCUGGAGGAACACCGGUGGCGAAGGCGGCAUCCUGGACCGAUACUGACGCUGAGGAGCGAAAGCGUGGGUAGCGAACAGG
Molecule: ribosomal RNA, 253 nt
Filed under: uncultured bacterium
Lineage: Bacteria
Description: partial 16S ribosomal RNA
Rfam family: Bacterial small subunit ribosomal RNA
Source: RNAcentral